Molecule: ribosomal RNA, 405 nt
Filed under: uncultured bacterium
Lineage: Bacteria
Description: partial 16S ribosomal RNA
Rfam family: Bacterial small subunit ribosomal RNA
Source: RNAcentral
AUUGAACGCUGGCGGCAGGCCUAACACAUGCAAGUCGAGCGAGCGGCGGACGGGUGAGUAAUGUCUGGGAAACUGCCUGAUGGAGGGGGCUAACUACUGGAAACGGUAGCUAAUACCGCAUACCAUCAGAUGUGCCCAGAUGGGAUUAGCUAGUAGGUGGGGUAAUGGCUCACCUAGGCGACGAUCCCUAGCUGGUCUGAGGGGAUGACCAGCCACACGGGAACUGAGACACGGUCCAGACUCCGACGGGAGGCAGCAGUGGGGAGUAUUGCACAAGGGGCGCAGGCCUGAUGCAGCCAUGCGGGGUGUGUGAGGAGGGCCUUCGGUUUGUAAAGCACUUUCAGCGAGGAGGCGUUACUCGCAGAAGAAGCACCGGCUAACUCCGUGCCAGCAGCCGGGUAAUUC